RNAcentral lists this transfer RNA (63 nucleotides) under Sphaerodactylus townsendi. RNAcentral's name for it is "tRNA-Val". It matches the Rfam family "tRNA". From Rfam's summary of the family: Transfer RNA (tRNA) molecules are approximately 80 nucleotides in length. Their secondary structure includes four short double-helical elements and three loops (D, anti-codon, and T loops). The record is from RNAcentral. Lineage: Eukaryota; Metazoa; Chordata; Lepidosauria; Squamata; Sphaerodactylidae.
GGGGGUUUGGCUCAGUGGUAGAGCAUCUGCUUGACCUGCAGAAGGUCUCAAGUUCUGUUCCCA